GGCCUCCUGGUGCUUCCCACAGGCUGUGUUCUUCACACAACUGUAUAGAAAGAGGAAGCACGGUAAAUGUACCCCAUAUUCACCUCAGCCCAGGCCUUUUGCCUGGUUUGUAUUGUGAAUGGGGAAACAUGA
Small nucleolar RNA from Suncus etruscus (white-toothed pygmy shrew), 132 nucleotides. RefSeq annotates it as small nucleolar RNA SNORA51. The transcript has a single exon. The record is from RefSeq and is a predicted model, not a curated record. NCBI's taxonomy places the organism in Eukaryota, Metazoa, Chordata, Mammalia, Eulipotyphla, Soricidae.